ACUUUGCUCAGCGGGUCUCCGAGGUUUCUGCAGGGUGGUGUGGAGAAGUGCCCUUCUGGGGAGCUUUUCUGCCCCUCGACAGGGUUUUGGAGUUGGAAUCACAGGGGCCAAUAACUCUUCAACGGCAGCACUUUGGAGGUCGCUCCUCCGCCGAGGACUUCGAGGAAUCCUUCAUCUCCCCGAACAUUCAAAGUUCUACAGGUGAGGCAACUUAAGCACAGGGGAGUGAAGAGAUUUACCUGACACUGUUUAAAGGGGGACUGGGCUGCAACUCUGGUCUCUUGACUGCCUGUCAGACAUUUUUCCAUUACCUCUCGAUGCCUUACUAAAUGCCAUGAGCUAGUUACUCCUUUUCCAACAACAGGGGCAAUUGGGUUUUGAUGCUGUGCCAGAAAUCUUCUGACAAUGAGUUACUGGAACUUGGAGAAAAGGAACUGUGUGCAGUACCGCAGGCACUUUCUGGUGGACAACAGUCUGUUUCAUGGUGA
Molecule: long non-coding RNA, 488 nt
Filed under: Sus scrofa (pig)
Lineage: Eukaryota; Metazoa; Chordata; Mammalia; Artiodactyla; Suidae
Description: lncRNA (ENSSSCG00015057022.1)
Source: RNAcentral